AGUCAUCAACCCCAUUCGUUUUGCACGGGUGUCUGGUUGGAUCUGGGGCGAAUGCUGCCGCGAGGCUGCUCCCCCGAAAUGUGUCGGCUGGACCAGUGGGUUCAAACUCGGCGGGCGUUGUACCAUCCUCGCUUGACCCGGGACUCCCGUUGUGUCCUCCCUAGACUGGCCUGUAGAGUGGCCGGUCAAGCCAAACUUUGAAAU
Molecule: unclassified non-coding RNA, 204 nt
Filed under: uncultured Basidiomycota
Lineage: Eukaryota; Fungi; Basidiomycota
Description: sequence contains ITS2
Source: RNAcentral